RNAcentral lists this long non-coding RNA (564 nucleotides) under Physcomitrium patens. RNAcentral's name for it is "long non-coding RNA (PPAT_LNC011560)". The record is from RNAcentral. Lineage: Eukaryota; Viridiplantae; Streptophyta; Bryopsida; Funariales; Funariaceae.
AAUGCUUCGGGCACCUAGCUGUGGAAGGAAGAAUUGAAAUUACAAUAAUAAAAUCCUAAUUCUAAUAGAAUACUAACAAUACUCUAAUUAGACUAUAAUAAUGCUAAGCAAGCUUAAUCAAAUUCAAAAAAAACUCAAAGAAAUUUCAAACAAACAAUAGGAAUAUUUAAAGAAACAUUAAAAAGAAUACAAAUGUCAUUCAAAUACAUCUCAAUUCAAUCUUAAAUUAAUUCUAGUUAAAAUCCUAUUGAACUUCAUUCAAACUUUAGGCCAAAACUAAUUGAAUCUUAAAUCCUAAUAAAAUCCUAAAUCCUAAAUCAAACCCCAACCAAAUCCUAAACCCUAAAUCAAAACCUAAUCAAAUCCUAAAUCAAAUCCUAAAUCCUAAACCAAACCCUAACCAAAUCCUAAACCAAAUCCUAAACCCUAAACCAAACCCUAAUCCAAAUCCUAAAUCCUAAAUCAAACCCUAAUCAAACCUUAAACCAAACCCUAAUCUAAAUCCUAAAUCCUAAACCAAACCCUAACCAAAUCCUAAACCCUAAACCAAACCCUAAACCCUAA